CAUGUGCUGUGAGCUCGAUGAGUAGGGCGGGACACGUGGUAUCCUGUCUGAAUAUGGGGGGACCAUCCUCCAAGGCUAAAUACUCCUGACUGACCGAUAGUGAACCAGUACCGUGAGGGAAAGGCGAAAAGAACCCCGGCGAGGGGAGUGAAAAAGAACCUGAAACCGUGUACGUACAAGCAGUGGGAGCACAGGUUUACCUGUGUGACUGCGUACCUUUUGUAUAAUGGGUCAGCGACUUAUAUUCUGUAGCAAGGUUAACCGAAUAGGGGAGCCGGAGGGAAACCGAGUCUUAACCGGGCGUUAAGUUGCAGGGUAUAGACCCGAAACCCGGUGAUCUAGCCAUGGGCAGGUUGAAGGUUGGGUAACACUAACUGGAGGACCGAACCGACUAAUGUUGAAAAAUUAGCGGAUGACCUGUGGCUGGGGGUGAAAGGCCAAUCAAACCGGGAGAUAGCUGGUUCUCCCCGAAAGCUAUUUAGGUAGCGCCUCGUGAAUUCAUCUCCGGGGGUAGAGCACUGUUUCGGCUAGGGGGCCAUCCCGGCUUACCAACCCGAUGCAAACUGCGAAUACCGGAGAAUGUUAUCACGGGAGACACACGGCGGGUGCUAACGUCCGUCGUGAAGAGGGAAACAACCCAGACCGCCAGCUAAGGUCCCAAAGUCAUGGUUAAGUGGGAAACGAUGUGGGAAGGCCCAGACAGCCAGGAUGUUGGCUUAGAAGCAGCCAUCAUUUAAAGAAAGCGUAAUAGCUCACUGGUCGAGUCGGCCUGCGCGGAAGAUGUAACGGGGCUAAACCAUGCACCGAAGCUGCGGCAGCGACGCUUAUGCGUUGUUGGGUAGGGGAGCGUUCUGUAAGCCUGUGAAGGUGGCCUGUGAGGGUUGCUGGAGGUAUCAGAAGUGCGAAUGCUGACAUAAGUAACGAUAAAGCGGGUGAAAAGCCCGCUCGCCGGAAGACCAAGGGUUCCUGUCCAACGUUAAUCGGGGCAGGGUGAGUCGACCCCUAAGGCGAGGCCGAAAGGCGUAGUCGAUGGGAAACGGGUUAAUAUUCCCGUACUUGGUGUUACUGCGAAGGGGGGACGGAGAAGGCUAUGUUGGCCGGGCGACGGUUGUCCCGGUUUAAGCGUGUAGGUGUGUGUUCCAGGUAAAUCCGGUUCACUUUAACACUGAGGCGUGACGACGAGGCACUACGGUGCUGAAGCAACAAAUGCCCUGCUUCCAGGAAAAGCCUCUAAGCAUCAGGUAACAUCAAAUCGUACCCCAAACCGACACAGGUGGUCAGGUAGAGAAUACCAAGGCGCUUGAGAGAACUCGGGUGAAGGAACUAGGCAAAAUGGUGCCGUAACUUCGGGAGAAGGCACGCUGACACGUAGGUGAAGUGAUUUACUCAUGGAGCUGAAGUCAGUCGAAGAUACCAGCUGGCUGCAACUGUUUAUUAAAAACACAGCACUGUGCAAACACGAAAGUGGACGUAUACGGUGUGACGCCUGCCCGGUGCCGGAAGGUUAAUUGAUGGGGUCAGCGCAAGCGAAGCUCCUGAUCGAAGCCCCGGUAAACGGCGGCCGUAACUAUAACGGUCCUAAGGUAGCGAAAUUCCUUGUCGGGUAAGUUCCGACCUGCACGAAUGGCGUAAUGAUGGCCAGGCUGUCUCCACCCGAGACUCAGUGAAAUUGAACUCGCUGUGAAGAUGCAGUGUACCCGCGGCAAGACGGAAAGACCCCGUGAACCUUUACUAUAGCUUGACACUGAACAUUGAGCCUUGAUGUGUAGGAUAGGUGGGAGGCUUUGAAGUGUGGACGCCAGUCUGCAUGGAGCCGACCUUGAAAUACCACCCUUUAAUGUUUGAUGUUCUAACGUGGACCCGUAAUCCGGGUUGCGGACAGUGUCUGGUGGGUAGUUUGACUGGGGCGGUCUCCUCCUAAAGAGUAACGGAGGAGCACGAAGGUUGGCUAAUCCUGGUCGGACAUCAGGAGGUUAGUGCAAUGGCAUAAGCCAGCUUGACUGCGAGCGUGACGGCGCGAGCAGGUGCGAAAGCAGGUCAUAGUGAUCCGGUGGUUCUGAAUGGAAGGGCCAUCGCUCAACGGAUAAAAGGUACUCCGGGGAUAACAGGCUGAUACCGCCCAAGAGUUCAUAUCGACGGCGGUGUUUGGCACCUCGAUGUCGGCUCAUCACAUCCUGGGGCUGAAGUAGGUCCCAAGGGUAUGGCUGUUCGCCAUUUAAAGUGGUACGCGAGCUGGGUUUAGAACGUCGUGAGACAGUUCGGUCCCUAUCUGCCGUGGGCGCUGGAGAACUGAGGGGGGCUGCUCCUAGUACGAGAGGACCGGAGUGGACGCAUCACUGGUGUUCGGGUUGUCAUGCCAAUGGCACUGCCCGGUAGCUAAAUGCGGAAGAGAUAAGUGCUGAAAGCAUCUAAGCACGAAACUUGCCCCGAGAUGAGUUCUCCCUGAGACUUAGAGUCUCCUGAAGGAACGUUGAAGACGACGACGUUGAUAGGCCGGGUGUGUAAGCGCAGCGAUGCGUUGAGCUAACCGGUACUAAUGAACCGUGAGGCUUAACC
This 2556-nucleotide ribosomal RNA is filed under the name Salmonella enterica subsp. enterica serovar Albany. Its description in RNAcentral is "bacterial LSU rRNA". It matches the Rfam family "Bacterial large subunit ribosomal RNA", at positions 391 to 2925 of the family's 2925-position model. Lineage: Bacteria; Pseudomonadati; Pseudomonadota; Gammaproteobacteria; Enterobacterales; Enterobacteriaceae. The record is from RNAcentral.